AUCGAUCCAGCUUAAUCAUAGGAAAACCAAAACCAAAAAUAUAUAUAGUAAGAUAUAAGAUUAGUCACAACCGUGCCAAGCUCUGUAUUUAUUAAAGGCUUACUUACUUGUAUGUAUACCCUUGCAGUCCCCGUCAUGAUAGUCAGUCGCACUGUCACCGGUGAAACCCCUUUCCUAUGUAUCAAUAAUAUCAGGCUAUAUAUCAAUAUCAGCGGUGUCGCCUUCUAAUAAAAGGAAAUAAUAAUUACCUACCUUGUAAUUGCGGCCUUUCUUCCGCUAUCAUCAUACUGCUGUGGGUUUUCAUCAAAGGGACAUCUGGAAUAUGAUGAAGUUGAUAUUUGUGGAAAAUAAGACAUAGAUUAUUGGUAACAACACAAUCCUUUCAAAGCUUAGAGCAUCAGUCUAGCUAGCUGUUCCACACAGGACUAAAGAAAAUGGCAUUGGGCAUUUAUGCCAUGUACCUUUUUGGCAAGGCAGACAUAAUGAAAAAGAACAAGCACAUACGUUUCCUGUAUCAUAUUGCACGACUACAUUAAUCAGCUCAAAGGAAAACGUUUACUGAGUGCAUGCGUCAUCGAUAAAUCUGGCAAUAAUUCUGCUGCAUCACUGAACAAAGAUAAAGGUUAUAUUCCUAGAUGUUACCUAAAUGUAGCAAUCGAGAGUAUGUUGACAUAAUCAGAGAAUGAAGUAUAAAUUAAUGUUCACAAAUUUUGUAUAGAACAGAUGGUGGCAAAUGUGAAUUCCAUACUUGGAUCAUCAUUUGAUUACAGCAAAUUACCGAAUGUGCGGUAGCAUGCAUCCCUAAUCAUCAAUAAGCAUCCUAAUACAAAGAUAACUAAUAAUAAGCAGCCAAGUUAGCAUACGACCACACAAGCCAUAAUGACCAGCUGAACCAAUGUCUGCAGGAAAAAAACACUGAUUGCAGGUUUGGUAGCUUAAUUGAUGAUUAAAUGCAAUGUCUACACAAUUAACAGGAAGCCACCAUCAACUUAAUUGUGACAGCGCACCAGACUGCAUAUGAUUGUUUCAAU
RNAcentral lists this long non-coding RNA (1031 nucleotides) under Setaria italica (foxtail millet). RNAcentral describes it as "long non-coding RNA (SITA_LNC003224)". The record is from RNAcentral. Lineage: Eukaryota; Viridiplantae; Streptophyta; Magnoliopsida; Poales; Poaceae.